UACGUAGGGGGCAAGCGUUGUCCGGAUUUAUUGGGCGUAAAGAGCGUGUCGGUUUGGUAGGUCCGCUGUGAAAACUCGAGGCUCAACCUCGAGACGCCGGUGGAAACCAUCAGACUAGAGUCCGGAAGAGGAGAGUGGAAUUCCUGGUGUAGCGGUGAAAUGCGCAGAUAUCAGGAAGAACACCCGUGGCUAAGGCGGCUCUCUAGUACGGUACUGACGCUGAGACGCGAAAGCGUGGGGAGCGAACAGG
RNAcentral lists this ribosomal RNA (250 nucleotides) under uncultured bacterium. Its description in RNAcentral is "partial 16S ribosomal RNA". It matches the Rfam family "Bacterial small subunit ribosomal RNA", at positions 524 to 776 of the family's 1533-position model. The record is from RNAcentral.